This 567-nucleotide ribosomal RNA is filed under the name uncultured bacterium. RNAcentral describes it as "partial 16S ribosomal RNA". It matches the Rfam family "Bacterial small subunit ribosomal RNA", at positions 355 to 912 of the family's 1533-position model. The record is from RNAcentral.
UGGGGAAUAUUGCACAAUGGGCGCAAGCCUGAUGCAGCCAUGCCGCGUGUGUGAAGAAGGCCUUCGGGUUGUAAAGCACUUUCAGCGAGGAGGAAGGUGGUGAGCUUAAUACGCUCAUCAAUUGACGUUACUCGCAGAAGAAGCACCGGCUAACUCCGUGCCAGCAGCCGCGGUAAUACGGAGGGUGCAAGCGUUAAUCGGAAUUACUGGGCGUAAAGCGCACGCAGGCGGUUUGUUAAGUCAGAUGUGAAAUCCCCGGGCUCAACCUGGGAACUGCAUUUGAAACUGGCAAGCUAGAGUCUCGUAGAGGGGGGUAGAAUUCCAGGUGUAGCGGUGAAAUGCGUAGAGAUCUGGAGGAAUACCGGUGGCGAAGGCGGCCCCCUGGACGAAGACUGACGCUCAGGUGCGAAAGCGUGGGGCAGCAAACAGGAUUAGAUACCCUGGUAGUCCAGCGCUGUAAACGAUGUCGAUUUGGAGGUUGUGCCCUUGAGGCGUGGCUUCCGGAGCUAACGCGUUAAAUCGACCGCCNGGGGAGUACGGCCGCAAGGUUAAAACUCAAAGGAAUUG